This 1304-nucleotide ribosomal RNA is filed under the name Candidatus Moranbacteria bacterium GW2011_GWF1_34_10. RNAcentral's name for it is "bacterial LSU rRNA". It matches the Rfam family "Bacterial large subunit ribosomal RNA", at positions 16 to 1264 of the family's 2925-position model. The record is from RNAcentral. Lineage: Bacteria; Candidatus Moraniibacteriota.
AGCAUAUGGAGAAUGCCUUGACUCGUAUGAGCGAUGAAGGACGUAGCAGGCUGCGAUAAGCCUCGGGGAGCUGCCAAGCAAGCUUUGAUCCGUGGAUUUCCGAAUGGGGAAACCCUCCUGUUUUUUAGCAGGAAUUAUUAUUUGAAUUCAUAGAAUAAUAAAGUCAACCUAGUGAACUGAAACAUCUUAGUAGCUAGAGGAAUAUAAAUCAAUAGAGAUUCCGUCAGUAGUGGCGAGCGAAAGCGGAACAGUCUAAACCAGUGCUACGCAUUGGAAAUUUCAAAUUCCAAAUUCCAAAAACCAAAUAAAUUCCAAAAACCAAAAUUCUAAAUUUCAAAACAUGUAUUUGUUUGUGAUUUAUUAUUUUGAGUAUUGUGAUUUGUUUGGAAAUUGUGAUUUGUUAUUUGGUUAUUCCACUGCGUGGCAUUGGGGUUGCGAGGUAGUCGUACUCGUUUGAUCGUGGUUGCUUUAUAUUUUUUAGUAGAACACUUUGGGAAGAGUGGCCAUAGAAGGUAACAGCCCUGUAUACGAAAAAAAAUAUAAAGUGAUGAGACUAUCCUCAAGUAGGACGGGACCGGAGAAAUCCUGUCUGAAUCAGGGAGCACUAACUUCCAAGACUAAAUAUUAUACGAGAUCGAUAGUGAACAAGUAGAUCGAUAGUGAACAAGUACCGUGAGGGAAAGGUGAAAAGCAUCCCGAUGAGGGAGAUGAAAUAGUAUCUGAAACCAUAUGUUAACAAGGAGUCAGAGCGGUGUUUACACCGCAAUGGCGUACUUUUUGUAGAACGGGCCAACGAGUUAAUUUUAUACGGCUUGCAUAAACCACUUUGUGGGAUAUGCGUAGUGAAAGCGAGGCUUAACCGCCGAAUUUGUCGUAUGAAUUAGACCCGAAGCCAGGCGAGCUACGCAUGAGCAGGGUGAACUCCGAAUUCUUUUGUUUCUUAUCCGGGCAGUUAGAACCUCGGCGCUAAGGUCGAGGCUCAAAAGGGAAAAAGCCCAGAUCAUAAUCUAAGGUCCCAAAAUUCAUGUUAAGUGGUAAAGGAAGUGAAAUUUCUGAAACACCUAGUAGGUUGGCUUAGAAGCAGCCAUCCUUUAAAGAGUGCGUAAUAGCUCACUAGCUUAGAGAUUUCGCGUCGAAGAUGUAACGGGGCUAAACAUGAUACCGAAGAUAUGGAAUCUGUGUGUAACACAGAAAUUCUAAAUUCCAAAUUCCAAAAACCAAAUAAAUUCCAAAAACCAAAAUUCUAAAUUUCAAAACAUGUAUUUGUUUGUGAUUUAUUAUUUUGAAUAUUGAAUUUUGUUUGG